CCUACGGGAGGCAGCAGCAAGGAAUCUUCCGCAAUGGGCGAAAGCCUGACGGAGCAACGCCGCGUGUGGGAUGACGCCUUUCGGGGUGUAAACCACUUUUCUCAGGGAAGAAGCACUGACGGUACCUGAGGAAGAAGGACCGGCUAACUACGUGCCAGCAGCCGCGGUAAUACGUAGGGUCCGAGCGUUGUCCGGAGUUACUGGGCGUAAAGCGCGCGCAGGCGGCGGUGUAAGCAUGGCGUGAAAGCCCCUGGCUUAACCAGGGAGGGUCGUCGUGGACUGCACCGCUUGAGGGCGGUAGGGGCUGGUGGAAUGCCUGGUGUAGUGGUGAAAUGCGUAGAGAUCAGGCGGAACACCCGUGGCGAAGGCGGCCAGCUGGGCCGUCCCUGACGCUGAGGCGCGAAGGCGUGGGGAGCGAACGGGAUUAGAUACCCCGGUAGUCCACGCAGUAAACGAUGCAGACUAGGCGUGGGGGGAGUUGACCCCCUCCGUGCCGGAGCCAACGCGGGAAGUCUGCCGCUGGGGAGUACGGCCGCAAGGCUAAACUCAAAUGAAUUGACGG
Molecule: ribosomal RNA, 562 nt
Filed under: uncultured bacterium
Lineage: Bacteria
Description: bacterial SSU rRNA
Rfam family: Bacterial small subunit ribosomal RNA
Source: RNAcentral